Molecule: ribosomal RNA, 810 nt
Filed under: Aspergillus niger
Lineage: Eukaryota; Fungi; Ascomycota; Eurotiomycetes; Eurotiales; Aspergillaceae
Description: SSU rRNA
Rfam family: Eukaryotic small subunit ribosomal RNA
Source: RNAcentral
GCACUUUAUACUGUGAAACUGCGAAUGGCUCAUUAAAUCAGUUAUCGUUUAUUUGAUAGUACCUUACUACAUGGAUACCUGUGGUAAUUCUAGAGCUAAUACAUGCUGAAAACCUCGACUUCGGAAGGGGUGUAUUUAUUAGAUAAAAAACCAAUGCCCUUCGGGGCUCCUUGGUGAAUCAUAAUAACUUAACGAAUCGCAUGGCCUUGCGCCGGCGAUGGUUCAUUCAAAUUUCUGCCCUAUCAACUUUCGAUGGUAGGAUAGUGGCCUACCAUGGUGGCAACGGGUAACGGGGAAUUAGGGUUCGAUUCCGGAGAGGGAGCCUGAGAAACGGCUACCACAUCCAAGGAAGGCAGCAGGCGCGCAAAUUACCCAAUCCCGACACGGGGAGGUAGUGACAAUAAAUACUGAUACGGGGCUCUUUUGGGUCUCGUAAUUGGAAUGAGUACAAUCUAAAUCCCUUAACGAGGAACAAUUGGAGGGCAAGUCUGGUGCCAGCAGCCGCGGUAAUUCCAGCUCCAAUAGCGUAUAUUAAAGUUGUUGCAGUUAAAAAGCUCGUAGUUGAACCUUGGGUCUGGCUGGCCGGUCCGCCUCACCGCGAGUACUGGUCCGGCUGGACCUUUCCUUCUGGGGAAUCUCAUGGCCUUCACUGGCUGUGGGGGGAACCAGGACUUUUACUGUGAAAAAAUUAGAGUGUUCAAAGCAGGCCUUUGCUCGAAUACAUUAGCAUGGAAUAAUAGAAUAGGACGUGCGGUUCUAUUUUGUUGGUUUCUAGGACCGCCGUAAUGAUUAAUAGGGAUAGUCGGGGGC